Molecule: long non-coding RNA, 389 nt
Filed under: Nicotiana benthamiana
Lineage: Eukaryota; Viridiplantae; Streptophyta; Magnoliopsida; Solanales; Solanaceae
Description: long non-coding RNA (NBEN_LNC032767)
Source: RNAcentral
GAUGAAAAGGCUAAAGCAGUAGGUUUUGCGGUGAUAAUGAAACCUCUUAGAGCAAGUAUGAUGGCUGCAUGCCUUAAGCAGCUAAUUGGAAUGGGCAACAAGAGCCAGGGAAAAGAUAUGUGCAAUGGAUCUUCCCUACGUGGCCUAUUUUGUGGUAAGAAAAUUUUGGUGGUAGAUGAUAAUAAAGUAAAUCGCAGGGUUGCUGCCGGUGCGCUCAAAAAAUUUGGGGCUGACGUAGAGUGUGCUGUCGUGGCCUAUUGUGUGGUAAGAGAAUUUUGGUGGUAGACGAUAAUAGAGUAAAUCGCAGGGUUGCUGCUGGAGCGCUCAAAAAAUUUGGGGCUGACGUAGAGUGUGCUGAAAGUGGGAAAGCUGCUCUUUCAUUGCUUCAG